RNAcentral lists this unclassified non-coding RNA (377 nucleotides) under uncultured Gammaproteobacteria bacterium. RNAcentral describes it as "contains 16S-23S intergenic spacer region". The record is from RNAcentral. Lineage: Bacteria; Pseudomonadati; Pseudomonadota; Gammaproteobacteria.
UCCGGUUUAUCACCGGCGGUCUCCUUAGAGUUCCCACCAUUACGUGCUGGCAACUAAGGACGAGGGUUGCGCUCGUUACGGGACUUAACCCAACAUCUCACGACACGAGCUGACGACAGCCAUGCAGCACCUGUCUCUCAGUUCCCGAAGGCACUCCCCUGUUUCCAGAGGAUUCCGAGGAUGUCAAGAGUAGGUAAGGUUCUUCGCGUUGCAUCGAAUUAAACCGCAUGCUCCACCGCUUGUGCGGGCCCCCGUCAAUUUCUUUGAGUUUUAACCUUGCGGCCGUACUCCCCAGGCGGAUAACUUAACGCGUUAGCUUCGAUACUAAAAGGUUACCCUCCCAACAUCUAGUUAUCAUCGUUGACGGCGUGGACUAC